AAUUACAAACAAAAUUAUCCGUUAACCGUUAUCCACACCAUUCUCCUCUCCUGCACCGCACGAUAACGCGCCCUUUUAACUACUCUUAUCUUUUCACCAAACAGUUUCUGGGCAAAAGAAAGCGGUGAAACAGCAAAAGAAAAGCUCUAAUCUGGAUCAAUGACGACGAUAACAGCUACGAUAAGACCAGUAAUGACGGGUGUGCCGUGGCCAAGUCCCAACACCUUGGCAGAAUUUCACCGAAGAGUUCGAAAGCAAGUUCUGACAUCGGUUUCAUUUCAUCCCAUUUGAGCGGCAUCAAAAUUUCAACCACUGCCUUCGAAAGUGCCCCUUGCACAAUUUCUGCCCCUUUUAGGCCUUCUCUUCAGCCUGUUGCCAGUAAGUUUCUUCGAUUCUCUUUGUGCGCGCGUUUGUGCUGUGAAAUUUGAUGCUAUAGUUCUUCUAUUACGCCUUUUUUAGUCGAUUAGGGGUUUAAUGUGGAGAAUUAUUUGAAUUAGUAUAUUCUGAUGUGAAUGAGUGUACUGGAUGUGGAGCUAAAGGUACUAAUUGGUCUGUUCUUGUUGCUGAUGUUUCCUUUCAAGUAUCUUGUUUCUGAAAUGAGAGAGGUUCGGUUGUAAAGUUUGCUCGAACACUGAUAAAUCCAAGCAAAACAAACUGGAAGUAUAUGAAAUGCAUUAUCUGGCUUAAGAGGGGAAACUUCAUCUUGUAAAAGUAGUUCAUUGAAUUUCUUAUGGAAUGAUUUCAUGUUGAUCUCAGCUACCUGUAGUCGUGUUAGCUAAGAAUUGUUGUUAUGCAACGAAGUUUUUGUAAAAAUGUCCACAUCCUGCAUAGCCCUAUUUGUGUUUACACAGCCGGAUUAGAGUGAUUAGAGUUGUCGGAAUAAUUUUACUUCGACUGGCUGAGAUUCAUGGAUGGUAGCAGCACCAGCACACCAGCACCUCGCAUUCGCAAUGCAAUUGGAGGUAGUUCUAGGAACUAUAACUUCUAUAUGGGCUAGGGUGGUCAAUUAGCUAGUGGUUUGUCUUGGACUAUUCCAUGAUAUUUCAUUUUUCCGUUUCUCAGAUAGUGUAUGAGAGACUGUAAUUCAUGAAGGUGGAUUUUUCGAGUUUUUGUACUUUCAUUUUCUUGGUGAUAAUGCGAAAGCAUAACAUUUUUUGAAUGUCAUUUGUUCUGCAAUCCUGUUACUCCACUUCAAGCAACCAGCCACUAGUUAACUAAGGGGGCGUUUGGUUUGAAGGAUGAGAUAGAUAAGAUUGGAGAGGUGAUUAAGUAAUCCACCCAACUUUGGGUGAUAAGAUUAUAUGCAGGCCGAGUUAUCAAUCACGGGCCCAAUCAUGCAAACCAAACCGAUUAAGGUUAAUUAUUUUAUCAAUCAUGCCUUAUCACUCAAACCAAACGCCUCCUAAGUGGUUAAGAAAAUUUUGCAUUGACUUUGAGCCUGUUCCUCAUAAUUUAUUUGGAAUGACAUGAAUUAUGUUGCUCGUACUCAUAGAAAACUGUGAGCUUUUAUUAGGAUUAUGAACAAAGAAGGGUCAUUUGUAUUUUUGGUUGAUUAGUUUUAUUUCGUGAUGUUAUUAUCUCUAUCUGAUAGGAUACGAGAGACUAUUUUCAUGAUGAUAUCUAUCUGAUAGGAUAUGAAGAACUUAGUAGCAGUGGCGUUUUCUUAGAAUUUUGAACAUUUCAACCAAUGGAAUCUGUCGCCAUACUUCUCUUUCACCACUAAUUUAUCAAGAAAGAAGCAAGAAUUUCUGCUUUUAGUGCUUUGAAAAAUUAUCAGAUGCUAUAUUCCAUGAUUUGAGUUAAAAGGAAAGCCAUAGGUUUUCUUUGAGUGAUACGAUAUUAGUCUUCUUCACAGCCAUAUUUCAAACUGCUCACGUUUGUAUUACAGGAAGAAUCUGUCCUUUCACGGGGAAAAAACCAAACAAGGCCAACAGGGUUUCCCACUCGAACCACAGGACAAUAAGACGGCAGUUUGUGAAUCUGCAGUAUAAGAAGAUAUGGUGGGAAGCUGGGAAGCGCUUUGUGAAGUUGCGAUUGUCAACCAAAGCUAUAAAGACAAUCGAGAAGAAUGGACUCGAUGCAGUGGCUAAGAAGGCCGGGAUUGAUCUCAGCAAAAUGUGAUCUCA
RNAcentral lists this long non-coding RNA (2126 nucleotides) under Salvia miltiorrhiza (redroot sage). RNAcentral's name for it is "long non-coding RNA (SMIL_LNC007498)". The record is from RNAcentral. Lineage: Eukaryota; Viridiplantae; Streptophyta; Magnoliopsida; Lamiales; Lamiaceae.